This is a long non-coding RNA of Raphanus sativus (radish), 1814 nucleotides long. RefSeq lists it as uncharacterized. The transcript has 8 exons. NCBI's taxonomy places the organism in Eukaryota, Viridiplantae, Streptophyta, Magnoliopsida, Brassicales, Brassicaceae. The record is from RefSeq and is a predicted model, not a curated record.
CAUCGUUACCUUAGGGCUUGUCGAUUAGAUUUUUUUUUCCUGAUCGCUCUCGAUCCCUCUUCCUCUUCCUCUUCCGCUUCCGUUCAUCUGCAGUUAUGGUGUUCAUUAACACUCAACUGGGCACUUCCUCUGUGGACGAAACGAUUCGGUCUUCCGUAACGUUUCUCUAAUCCUUAUAUAUAGAGUUCUCGAGCUGUCUUCGCCGCCGUCGCCCCGUCUCCGUCGUGACCGCCGUCUCCGCAGACGCCGCUGUCUCCGCUGCCGCCGCCGUCCCAUACACCACCUUCGACUCACUCCGACUUGGCAGGACCGCCCAGUCUUUGGUUGGUAGACUCAUCCGAUUCUGGAAUGCUAAGGAUAUCGAUAAGAACAUGGAACUUUUGGGAAUAACCCUUCUACUACUUGAUGAGAAGGUUCAAGAAUCGAAGGGUGAGGACGAACCAGUGGAGCGAUGCGGUGAUGGCAGAGGAGAAGGGGAUUCUGUUUCUAAUGGUGGACGCUCGCCACAGAUGUCUACUCGGCGGUGGAAAGAGGCAUCAUGUUGGGUAGCUUGAUGGAGGAUGGCUUAUCGUAUAAGGAUAAGUUCAUAGUCAGAUCCCACGAAGUGCAGUGUAGCAAAAUCGCUACGGUUCAAACCAUUGCCAGUCUUUUGAAAGCUUUUCCUGAGCAGGAAAAUAACAUAAGCUUGAAAAAAUCUCCAAACUUGAAGAUCUGGCCGAGUACUCAAUCAUUGGACUUAAGCCAAGACGAGCUGAUCUCGACAUGAACCAUCAUGUCAAUAAUGUCACCUAUAUUUGAUGGCUUCUUGAGGAAUGUGACUGUCUACUUAUCUUUAUGGGAAGGGGUCUCUUGAAAGACGGGGAUAAAUCCAAGUCUGUUGGGUUACCAUAGUUAACCUAAAAUCUUUGGAGGGGAUCUGUAUUUAAACUCCACACCGGGGACUAGGUUCUUCUUUGAUACUGACCUCCCUGAGGUUAAAGAGUUUGUCAGCAGUUUGGGAGGUCCAUUAUCUCAAGUGUUUCCCUGUGUCGACACUUUAGAAGGAAUUAAGAAGAAGGAACUUUUCUCAAUCGAAGAUCCGAACACCUUCAUCAACAAGUCCAAUGAGCAGGUUGUUGUAUGACUUUAUCCACAUUUGUCUCUAUAUGGUACCAUUAGUAUUUUUCAAUGGCUAAAUAUUUGUAUAAGCAGACCCAUGAAGCUGAUUUCCUCUGCAAAGCCCGGAUUAUUGAUGUACUCCAGCACUAUGGGUGGUUCUUUGUGUUAUCUGGGAGUUAAUAAUAAUAAUAAUAAUGUGAAGCUUAUACAGGGCAGUACCAUCUUCACGCUCAUUCCCUUGAGCAUCAACUGGAGCUGGUUCCAAAAUGUUCAUAGAGUUUGCAAUGACAUCCUCCAUGUGAGAUAUGUGCAGCAUGCGCAUGUUACUGUUCUUAUCCUCUACCCAAGGCACAUGUAGCUUUUUCUGUGCUACUGUAUUUGGAUCUAAAUAAGAAAGAAAAGAACUCCGGGAGCUAAGAAAAGAAACAAUGAAGAAAGAAAAGUUCCGACUGGAUCCGACCUCCAUCAUCACCACACUCCUUUAACAUCCCCACAAGAUCAGUUGCUUUUACAUCUCCAUAAGAUUAGUUGCUUUUACAUCUUUUAUUUCUCAUAACUCAUGUUAGUUUGUAACAACUUUUAACAUUCCAGUUUUUGGGUUUGUUUAUCCAAAUGUUAAUUUAAAUUCAUGUUGAAAAAUGAGUUAACUUUGGUAGUCUAUAACAUCCACGUUGAAGAUUGUAUCAAACGUUUUGUCAUCUCCGUAGAUAUAUUGU